AUACCUGCAGAAGGGUAUUUCUAGUGAUUUUUUUUUGCUUAAAGGCCCAAAACAACAACAGUUGUUUGUGUGUCAAAUCCCAGCACCCCAAUGUCACAUCUCAGCACCCCAGUGUCACAUCCCAGCACCCCAGUGUCACAUCCCAGCACUCCCAGUGUCACAUCCCAGCACUCCCAGUGUCACAUCCCUGCACUCCCAGUGUCACAUCCCAGCACUCCCAGUGUCACAUCCCUGCACUCCCAGUGUCACAUCCCAGCACUCCCAGUGUCACAUCCCUGCACUCCCAGUGUCACAUCCCAGCACUCCCAGUGUCACAUCCCUGCACUCCCAGUGUCACAUCCCAGCACUCCCAGUGUCACAUCCCUGCACUCCCAGUGUCACAUCCCAGCACUCCCAGUGUCACAUCCCUGCACUCCCUGCUCUGCCAGCAUCUCCCCGAGGUCCCCCCUGCCUGGGAUGUUCCUGUUUGAUCCCAAUUAUUUCUCCCUGGCUUUCAUCCUUCCGUGGCUCCGUCGUGUUUCCGUCGCUGGCACUGUCAUUAAUUACCUGGCAGUGCAAUUAGUGACGGGUUUGCUCCUUCCCUUCCACAGCAGCAGUUUAAAUUGUGGCAAAAACAUCCAUGAAUUCCACAAGGGGCCAAACCCACCCUCGUGGGGGCUCGGGGUGGGGACCCCCAUCCCAGCUGCCAUUCCAGAGGAGGAACUGGGGCUCUGGGGAUCUGCACACACCUGUUUAGGGAUCAGAUACCAGCACGGACAUCUCUCCGUGGGCACGUCCCUGGAGUGUGUCAGGGUUUACAGAAUGUUCAUGGGAAUGUUUGUAAAAUAUGAGCAUUUAUGGAAAAUCCAUAGUGGAGGGGUUUGGGCUGUGCUGCAGGGAACAGGGACAGGAGCACAGGGAAGGGCCAGGCCAGGGCAGGGUGGGCAGCAGCAGGAAUUCCCCCAUGGGAAGGGUGGGCAGGGAGUGGAAGGGGAAAUUUGGAGUUCCCAUCCCUGGAGGUGUCCAAGGAAGGGCUGGAGGUGGGGACAAGGUGGGGAUGGGUCACAGGUUGGAUUUGGUGACCUUGGGCUGGGGGCAGGGCAGGGAUCGGGCACAGCUUGGACUCGGAGCCUCAGCAAUCCCGGGAUUCUGCGAUGCACAGAAGUUGUAGGAACACAAAAUAUCAACCAUCUGAAAGGCAGUUGAGGGCCGAUUGCAGGCUGGCCUGGCAGGGUUUCUCCCCCCAGUGCCCCUCUGUGGGCUCCUGGCCCCCGCUGGGGCAGGAUCACCCCGCGGGACAUGGCCGGGAAUGGGAAUCCCCUCCCGACCUGCCGGGCGCUAAUUGCUCCGGGCGGGGGAGAGGGGAACCGGCAAAGUGCCAGACGGGGAGGGGAGGGGAGUGCCGUGGAACCCUGCAGCCUUUCAUCUGCAGCUUUUCAUCUCCCUGGGCCGGGGGAAUCCUGGCAGCCACCGCCCCAACGGCCCCGGCGCUCGGCUCUGCCCCGGAACGGGA
This 1492-nucleotide long non-coding RNA is filed under the name Ficedula albicollis (Collared flycatcher). RNAcentral describes it as "lncRNA (ENSFALG00000025485.1)". Lineage: Eukaryota; Metazoa; Chordata; Aves; Passeriformes; Muscicapidae. The record is from RNAcentral.